This 74-nucleotide transfer RNA is filed under the name Pyrinomonadaceae bacterium. RNAcentral describes it as "tRNA-Arg". It matches the Rfam family "tRNA". From Rfam's summary of the family: Transfer RNA (tRNA) molecules are approximately 80 nucleotides in length. Their secondary structure includes four short double-helical elements and three loops (D, anti-codon, and T loops). Lineage: Bacteria; Pseudomonadati; Acidobacteriota; Blastocatellia; Blastocatellales; Pyrinomonadaceae. The record is from RNAcentral.
GCUCGCGUAGCUCAGUUGGAUAGAGUGCUUCCCUCCGAAGGAAGAAGUCGCAGGUUCAAAUCCCGCCGCGAGUA